GUCUACAGCUAUACCACCCUGACUGUGCCUGAUCUUGUCUGAUCUCGGAAGCUAAGCAGGGUCAGACCUAGUUAGUACUUGGAUGGGAGGUA
Molecule: ribosomal RNA, 92 nt
Filed under: Ochotona princeps (American pika)
Lineage: Eukaryota; Metazoa; Chordata; Mammalia; Lagomorpha; Ochotonidae
Source: RNAcentral